CGCAGGAGGUUCGAGCCUCGCGAAGCGAGACAACGUUGCUUCAGCAACGGCCCGCAGGGCGCGCAUCAAAGAUGCGCGUAAUCCUCUCUCGCCGACCA
RNAcentral lists this small RNA (98 nucleotides) under Serratia marcescens. RNAcentral's name for it is "partial RtT sRNA". It matches the Rfam family "RtT RNA", at positions 33 to 130 of the family's 130-position model. Rfam says of the family: This family represents a bacterial cis-regulatory element known as RtT RNA. The exact function of RtT is unknown although it is thought that it may be involved in changing the cellular response in relation to amino acid starvation. The record is from RNAcentral. Lineage: Bacteria; Pseudomonadati; Pseudomonadota; Gammaproteobacteria; Enterobacterales; Yersiniaceae.